UCGGAACGUAAAUUGUACAAGACAAAGCAGGGGCUGAGUUUAAUAAACAUCUCAUCUCAUUGUACAUACCAAGACAGGAGACCCUGGCACGCCGAGACCGAAGCGCCCGGCAAAGCAGCUCCGGCACCAACGGGGCCACAGGGCAAGUGGCACCGGGUGGCCCUGAGCCCAACCGAGCCUCGCACCCGAGGAUUCCCCCAGUCCCCGAGCACGGUGCCGAGACCCCGUCCUCCACCCCCGGGGCCUCGUUCCCCACCAAACCAGAGCCGUAGGCCGGGAGCUGUAAACGUCGGAGGAUCGGCGAGUACGUGGCGAAGGCAUCUGAGCUUAGCAGGGAACGCAGCGCAGGCGUUAUGUGAUUUUGAACAGCUUGCUUGACAGUUUGCACCAUAUUGUAUUUAUAAACAUUGGCGAAACCAAAAUGCUUUUCCUCGGUGUUUCCGAAGGAGUCAUCCACAACAAAACAGACGUGCAGGGCAAGACCACGCAUCCCAGCGCGAAGGCGGUUCAAAUUAGAUAAAAAAAAAAAAAAAAAAAAAAAAAAAACACAAGAGGCCCCUAUUAAUUUCAGCAGGGUCACUCGGGCGAGUAAUUGCUCAGCAUCCCACGCAGCGCUCGAAGCCCCCAGCACCUCUCGGCCACCCAGGCCUGAAUUCAUGCGGGGCCGCAGUGCGAGGUAGCAGGGGCCAGUGACACCGGGCACACGGGGACCCGUGAGGUGGGAAGAGGAGUAGGCUGGGGAAGGGAGGAUUAUUUCGGGGGCGUUACAAAGCUCUCUCCAAUUAGGAGGGGCUCGUUAUCUGCUGGCAGGGAACGUCAGCCUGCAAGGAGCGGGUAUCGCUCUCCGAACGGAAGGAAGCGCGGCCACAGGACCCCAAAUACACCCACGCGGUGCACAUGGGACAUGCGGUGCACCACUGCUCAUUUCUGAUGCUGGAAAUAGAACAUGAAAUCUCUCUGUGUUGAAAAAAGCUCUCUCCUUCUUCAAACCCUAACAAGUUUUAAAUUCUACACAUUGCUCCGCGUGCGCCAGAGACCCUCAGCAGUGCUAGAAAGCCGGCCUCGGCAGCUCUCCUCUCGCAGGUAUGCGCUUUGCUACGAGGCAGGAGAGUGGGGCAGGGAGGAUGAGGCACCCUGACAAGCAGCACUCCGAAACGCCAUUCCUCAAAUAGUUAGGAACCAGCCACUUCCCAAGCAGGUUAUGCCCGAGACAGCCGUGCCUCCCAAGUGUCACUCGCACAUAAAUCACUCUCCACAGCCGCCCAAGGAGGAAUUCACCCUCCAACCCCGCUCGCCUCUUCCAGCUUUACAUGCCACCAACUCCACCGGCUCUACCAAACACACUACCGAGGCCGGAUGCCCACCACAGGCCGCUGCCGGACAGCGGCUGCAGGAUGCCCCGACGGCGACGCACUGCCACGUUGGUCAUCCAACGUCACCUGCCCUGGGGACUCUGCCUCCCAGCAGUGGCACCCUGCGAGCGUUUUGUGCCGGGGAGGUCAAGGCCUGCGGGAGGCUCACGCUGGCGGGGCGCGGGGAUGCGGCACCCCAGGAGUGCCGGCCCUUGGGAGCGCUGCGCUGGCCUUCCGAGGCUGCAAGGCACCAAAGUUGGAUCUGCAAGUGAUUAAACAGCGCUCCGCAGCCAUUGUCUCUGCACUGCCGAAAUAAAAACGCAACCCACAGCAAACCCCUGCGCUUGCAUCCCA
Molecule: long non-coding RNA, 1706 nt
Organism: Cygnus olor (mute swan)
Lineage: Eukaryota; Metazoa; Chordata; Aves; Anseriformes; Anatidae
Exons: 2
Source: RefSeq, a predicted model, not a curated record